AUUUGUGGCUAACAUUAAUUUACAAGAAAUUUCUAUGUAAUUUUCUUAUUUUUGGAAUAGUGUUGAUUUAAUUAAUAGUUUUCUUCGAAAAUAACCCCAAAAAGCAGCUUCGCCAUGGGACAGAAAUAACACUUUACUUGAAGCCUAUCAGUGCCAAAGCUCAAGGCCAAAGGAAGGUUGCUAGAGAGACAAAGACUAAUGUCGUUUACAUCAAUGGGAACCCAACAUUUUGUUUACGGCAGAAUAAUGCAGGAUGUUUACAAAGAUUACGAGUAUGAAGUUUAUGAUCACAACUUUGUUGAUGGCGUGUCUGCAACCUUAUAAUCAUGCCUAGUCGAGUGGGUACGUAGCAAACGUGAAGAGUCUUAGCAACCACAAUGGCUAGCAUGAAGUGCAAAAUAAUCUCCAGAUGUUUGGUGCGCUAGUUAAGGAAUGGAUUAAUUAGCUGCUGGUAUUUGGCGCCAAGAUUGUCACAUCACAAGACUUGUGUGCUAGGUAGUGUAAUCUCAAGCUCAUGUAUGAGUGGAACAGUUGAUCAAAGCUCUAUUGUAGUGUGGCAAAAGUCCAUUAUUUUA
Molecule: long non-coding RNA, 575 nt
Organism: Helianthus annuus (common sunflower)
Lineage: Eukaryota; Viridiplantae; Streptophyta; Magnoliopsida; Asterales; Asteraceae
Exons: 3
Source: RefSeq, a predicted model, not a curated record